AGAAAUCAACGAAUGUGCCAGUAAUCCAUGUCAGCAUUCUGCAGUAUGUAACGAUUUGGUAAACAGAUAUUCAUGUACCUGUAAAACUGGAUAUACAGGAACGAAUUGUGAAAUAGGUAAAACAAAUGCUAAAAACUAAACUUAAAAAGAAAACACUUUGCACAAUGAUGUUGUGUUAAAGGCAAUAGUAGUCUCAGAAAUCUAUACAAAUAUUUAAAAAUAAAUCAAGGUAACAUACAAAAUCUUAGGAAAUAUCAUGAGCUAUAAAAAGAGUGUCUCAUGCUAUGUGUGAACUAUCGAAAUGCUAAUCCAAAUUUAUUCUUAAUGGCACUAAAUGGAAUUGAGCAUAAUUGGUAAAAUUUUAGAUUAGAGGAAUGUUCUAGUAUCUAAAGAACUAAGAUCGUAUAACAUGUCGCUUCUGCACUGUUCUGAUUUAAAACACAUGGAAUUUGACAACCGCUUACAUCGUGACUGUACAAUGUUAUGUUAUUUUGGUUUCAUUCGUUUUUCCUUGUUAUUCUUUGUGUUCUCAAAAAAAAAUGUGUGUGCCUUGCGUUUCUUAUGAACAUAUUUUUUCACUCAAUUAGUGUGAGCAUAGAAAUGAUUAUAAAAAGGGAAAUGUGGUAUGAUUGCCAAUGGGACAACUCUCCACAAGAGACCAAACGACACAGAAAUUCACAACGAUAGGUCACCGUAUGGCCUUAAACAAUGAGCAACGCCCGUAUCACAUAGUCAGUUAUAAAAGGCCAGGAAAUGACAAAUGUAAAACAAUUCAAACGAGAAAAAAUAAUGGCCUUAUUUAUGUACAAAAAAAUGAACGGAAAACAAAUAUGUAUCACAUCAACAAACGACAACCACUGAAUUACAGGCUCCUGACUUGGUACAGACAUAUACAUGAAGAAUAUGGCGGGGCUAAACAUUUUAGCGGGAUCCCAACCCUCCUCCUAAAAGAGGGACGAAAGAUACAAGAGGGACAGUCAAACUCCUAACAUGAGCAGUGGUGAAACAGUACAGCAUAAGAACUAACUAUAAAAAAUUAAAUACAAAUAGAAAUACAUAGAACAAAAAAACAAAGCAUACUCUUUCUACCGUCAGAAGCACAUCGUAUCGACUCAAAUCUCUGUGGCAAGCAUCAAGUAAAGUCAUUGUUUUGAUAUAGGCUUUUUUAACGGAUAGUUUUACCGAGGAAUUUCAGGAUAAAAAACCUAAAUUUGUUGCAACCUCCUCAGGAAGGUAGUAAAAGUAACAAGUGUGUGUGUCUUUUUGUUCGUAUGGGGUGUUAUUAUGCAUAAUUUAAGAUAAUUUACAUCAAUAAUCACAUAUAUUACUAAUGCUCUUGAAAUAAAUGUAUUUGAAGAUAUCAAUGACUGUGCAAGCAAUCCAUGUCAACAUCAAGCAAGUUGCAUAGACCAUAUCAGUAGCUACACAUGCUCGUGUACUGUGGGUUACACUGGCAAGCAUUGCGAAAUGAGUGAGUGAAUUAUGUAUACAUAUGCCUUAAUAAUGUUUAUCUUAUUUUUUAAAUAUUAUGUAUGGACAGUUUUGGGAAUUUAAUUACAUUUAUAGUAUUCCAGCUUAGUACAAUACUGUUUUAAACUAUGAUCAUUUAAGCCAACGAUCGUUAUAACUCGCUGGAUUGUAUCAAGAAAGCUUCUGAUUUAUACAAUGUAUAAAAAUACGACUUAGGGAUAAUGAUUCAACUCCAUAUUAAGUAAGUAAGAGAUAUACAGGUCGUUGAUAAUUCAAAAGAGGGACGAAAGACGCCAGAGGAACAGUCAAACUCAUAAAUCGAAAAAAAAACUGACAACGCCUGGCUAAAAAUGAAAGAAGACAAACAGACAAACAAAAGAACACAUGACACAACAAAGAAAACAAAAAAAUAAGCAACACGAACCCCACCAAAAAAUAUGGGUGAUCUCAGGUGCUCCAGAAUAGUAAGCAGAUCCUGCUCCACAUUUGACACCCUUCGUGUUGCUUAUGUUAUAACAAAUCCUCUAAAUUGUCUAAUUCGAUAGGUCACGUUCAUGAAAGGGAAGAGUAUGCAUACCAUAUAUAUAUAUAUUAUGUACACAGCCAUGUAUCACCAUCAUUGAUGGCGAUCCGAUGGAUACAUCUGUUGUAGAGUUGUCACUGACUCAGACGUACUUAUAAAUAUAAUUAUUUUCUGUGACUGUAUAUUACAUUAAUUUGUAGGAUCCUUUACUAUAGAUAAUUUAGCUGAUAUGUAACAAUAACAUCUUCAUGCCUUAUAUAUCAUGUACUGUAGUACGCCGCUAGAUUAAAACUGACGAGGAAAGGUAACACACGGCCACUGAAAGCUUUAUUUUUGUAGAGCCCAGGUGGUCGUGUGGUCUAGCGGGACGGCUGCAGUUCAGGCGAUUUGGUGUCACGAUAUCACAGUAGCAUGGGUUCGAAUCCCGGCGAGGGAAGAACCAAAAAUUUGCGAAGCAAAUUUACAGAUCUAACAUUGUUGGUUGAUGUUUAGACGAUAUAUAUAUAUAUAUAUAUAUAUAUAUAUAUAUAUAUAUAUAUCAAGACCUUUAUCGUCUUUUGACUAUAUAAAUGCCUUUGAGUGUCAAUAAUCUUCUGUCUAUACCCACUCCACAUUUUGAAAAAUCAACGAUAAUCCUUCUUGGUCUUCUUAAUUUGGACAGAGACAGUUAUUCUAAAAAAUUAAUAAAUAAAUGGAAUGCACAGAAACAAUAAGAAGCAUAAUACUCAAACUAGUGCAACUAUCCAAUCCGUUGUAAUGGAUGUACCAGAAAAUAUGAUGGUCUUCGAAUAAAUAAUGGUGAUACAAUGUUUUGUUUGUCUGAUGAAUCCAAAUACAAAAUAGGGGAAAGCAUUUUUUUUAUAUUUUAAAAGUGCUUGUUACUUCCCGAUGGUAAAAAAAUAAGUUAUCAAAGAUACCAGGAUUAUGAUUGAAUACGCCAGACGUGCGUUUCGUCUACACAAGACUCAUCAGUGACGCUUAGAUCAAAAAAGUUAUGAAGUCAAAUAAUACAAAGUUGAAGAGCGUUGAGGACCAAAAUUCCAAAAAGUUGCGCAAAUACAGCUAGGGUAAUCUAUUUCUGGGAUAAGAAAAUCCUAAGUAUUUCGAAAAAUUAAAAGUUUUGUAAACAGGAAAUGUAUACAAAAAUUAUCAGAAAUUUUUACAAGUGUAGAAAAUAGAUUUUUUUUAAGUUUAUUUGUCUACAAAAGUAUCAGGAGGCAAAAUGUCAUAAUCCAGUUCAAAUAGAGCAUGGCUUUCAAUUUUAGACAUAGAGUGUCACAGUAAUCCAUGUCAAAACGGAGGGAUCUGUACAGACGUUCAAAACUCAGGGCAUACCUGUCACUGUCCUCCAGGAUUUACUGGAACCAAUUGUGAAAA
This 3370-nucleotide long non-coding RNA is filed under the name Mytilus galloprovincialis (Mediterranean mussel). Lineage: Eukaryota; Metazoa; Mollusca; Bivalvia; Mytilida; Mytilidae. The record is from RNAcentral.